Non-coding RNA from Paramuricea clavata, 774 nucleotides. Lineage: Eukaryota; Metazoa; Cnidaria; Anthozoa; Malacalcyonacea; Plexauridae. The record is from the annotation of a GenBank genome assembly.
AAGAAACUUUAAAGAAAGCGUGCUAAUUCUCGUAUUUUACUCGUAUGUACUCGUAUUUUACUCGUAUUUACUGGUAUGUUACUCGUGUGUACUCGUAUGUUACUCGUGUGUACUCGUAUGUAUUCGUAUGUACUCGUAUGCUACUCGUAUGUACUUGUGUGUUACUCGUAUGUUACUCGUAUGUACUCGUGUGGUGUUUUAGUCACGAUCGUUUAUCGCAAUUAGUUCUAUAAGAUGCACCUCGAUAUAAAUAUACAUUUCAUUUUCACAUUGGUCAUUGGGGAGUUAAGUCCUCAAAAUACAAUGUUGUCUAUAUUGAGCUAUAAAAAGAUUGUAAUAUCACUUUAAUCAUAGACAAUCCAGAAGACAUGUCUUCUGGAUUGUCUAUGCUUUAAUUAAAACGUUUUUUGUUAUUUAAUGUAUACAUUACAGUGAUUUUAAACUUUGUUAUGACGAAAUAUUGUAAAAAUACAUAAUAAUUAUGUUGCGUAUUAUAUUUGUGGCUAUUAGUAAAACACGGAGCACACGGAGUACGGAGCAGUAUAUAAGAGCGUGUAUAUUUGUUACAUGUGCCGACUGCCGUGCAGCACGGCAGAAUAAAUGGGUUAGGUUAAAACGCGGAAGCGGAUGCGGAACAGAACGGAUGCGGAACGGAUAUGCGGAACGGAACGGAUAUGGGGUUAAAAUGCGGAACGGAACGGAUAUGCGGAACGGAACGGAUAUGGAGUUAAAAUACGGAACGGAAAUGCGGAAUGGAACGGAACGGAUAUGGGG